RNAcentral lists this ribosomal RNA (1172 nucleotides) under metagenome. RNAcentral's name for it is "SSU rRNA". It matches the Rfam family "Eukaryotic small subunit ribosomal RNA", at positions 454 to 1777 of the family's 1831-position model. The record is from RNAcentral.
ACUCAGGGAGGUAGUGACCAGAAAUAACGACGACGGGUUUCGAUUCGUCGAUUGCAAUGAGCACAAUGUAAAAUUCUUAGCGAGUACCGACUGGAGGGCAAGUCUGGUGCCAGCAGCCGCGGUAAUUCCAGCUCCAGUAGCGUAUAUUAAAGUUGUUGCAGAUAAAAAGCUCGUAGUUGGACGUCUCUGCGACACGCAGCUCCGCCACGCAACUAGGUUCGUCCUUAAUUGAACGGCCUAGACCUGCGGGCCCUUUACCUUGAGGAAACUAGAGUGUUUAAGGCAGGCUGAGCCUGAAUACUGCAGCUGGGAAUAAUGCGCACGACUGUCUUGGCGAGGCAGCUCCACACUUUUAAUAGGAACAGUUGGGGGCAUUCGUACUCAGCAGUCAGAGGUGAAAUUCUUGGAUUUGCUGAAGACGGACUAAUGCGAAAGCAUUUGCCAAGGAUGUUUUCAUUAAUCAAGAACGAAAGUUAAGGGAUCCAAGACGAUCAGAUACCGUCCUAGUCUUAACCAUAAACGAUGCCGACUAGGGAUCGGGAGAGACGUACAAACUCUCUCGGCACCUCACGAGAAAUCCAAGUCUUUGGGUUCUGGGGGGAGUAUGGUCGCAAGACUGAAACUUAAAGGAAUUGACGGAAGGGCACCACAAGGAGUGGAGCCUGCGGCUUAAUUUGACCCAACACGGGGAAACUUACCAGGUCCAGACAUAGUGAGGAUUGACAGAUUGACAGCUCUUUCUUGAUCCUAUGGGUGGUGGUGCAUGGCCGUUCCUAGUUGGUGGAGUGAUCUGUCUGGUUAAUUCCGAUAACGAACGAGACCUCAGCCUGCUAACUAGAUCUUCUUAGAGGGACUUCCUGCUCGCGUGGGAGGAAGUGAGGCAAUAACAGGUCUGUGAUGCCCUUAGAUGUCCUGGGCCGCACGCGCGCUACACUGACGCAACCUGCAAGUUCCAAGCCUGUCAAGGCCUGGCAAACUGCCAACUGCGUCGUAGUUGGAACUGACCCUUGCAAUUCUUGGUCACGAACCAGGAAUUCCUAGUAAGCGCAAGUCAUCAGCUUGCACUGACUAAGUCCCUGCCCUUUGUACACACCGCCCGUCGCUCCUACCGAUUCCGAGUGAUCAGGUGAACCUCUCGGACCCUGAAAGUUAAGUGAACCUUAUCACUUAGA